UCCCUAAUUUCCCCUUCUCCUUCCCCACGUGCGCCGCCAUGGGCUCCCGCCGCCGCCGGUCUCUCGACCAUGCCCGCGCACCAUCCGCCGCUCCCGCAUGACCCUGCUGGCCUCCCGCCCCCACGCGCUCAAAUCCUCUCCUCCGACUAAGUGCCCUCUCUGCUCGAACCCUCGUCCUCAUGGUGGGCACUGGUCAGAUCUCGGGGAAGACCGGUCUCAAACUUGCUGCAGAGGAGUACUGCCCUGUACUAGAAUAUCAUGAUGGCCAUGGCGAAGCAGUUCCUGUAGGCGUUGCUGCUCCUGUUGGCCAACCCCUUCCUGGCCUUUCCGGGUUGGGUUCCCGUGAGCGGCGUCAUCAGCUUAGGCACCAACCUCGUCUCCUCAAGGAUGAACAAACCUAGCAUAUCGUUACUGAAUUUGGAGUUAUACACAUCAACAAGAGGAGGGAAAGAGACGGGCUUACAGUGGUAUGA
Molecule: long non-coding RNA, 473 nt
Organism: Triticum aestivum (bread wheat)
Lineage: Eukaryota; Viridiplantae; Streptophyta; Magnoliopsida; Poales; Poaceae
Exons: 2
Source: RefSeq, a predicted model, not a curated record